RNAcentral lists this ribosomal RNA (448 nucleotides) under uncultured bacterium. RNAcentral describes it as "bacterial SSU rRNA". It matches the Rfam family "Bacterial small subunit ribosomal RNA", at positions 337 to 802 of the family's 1533-position model. The record is from RNAcentral.
UCCUACGGGAGGCAGCAGUGGGGAAUAUUGCACAAUGGGCGCAAGCCUGAUGCAGCAACGCCGCGUGAACGAAGAAGGCUUUCGGGUCGUAAAGUUCUUUUCUUAGGGAAGAAAAAUGACGGUACCUAAGGAAUAAGCACCGGCUAACUACGUGCCAGCAGCCGCGGUAAUACGUAGGGUGCAAGCGUUAUCCGGAAUCACUGGGCGUAAAGGGUGCGUAGGCGGCCUUGCAAGUCAGAAGUGAAAGGCUACGGCUCAACCGUAGUAAGCUUUUGAAACUGUAAGGCUAGAGUGAAGGAGAGGAAAGUGGAAUUCCUAGUGUAGCGGUGAAAUGCGUAGAUAUCAGGAGGAACACCGGUGGCGAUGGCGACUUCCUGGACCAAUACUGACGCUGAGGCGCGAAGGCGUGGGGAGCAAACAGGAUUAGAUACCCCGGUAGUCCAAGCCG